This 401-nucleotide long non-coding RNA is filed under the name Homo sapiens (human). RNAcentral describes it as "HSALNT0196273". Lineage: Eukaryota; Metazoa; Chordata; Mammalia; Primates; Hominidae. The record is from RNAcentral.
GUGACACGUUGGUGGGCUUGCUUACAGAUUUCUCUAUCUGCAGAGACAUUAGUCUGUAUGUGACAGACUAAUAGUGACACAUUCAUUACACCCAAACCCCUUUGGAAUUCUUCCUCUGCCCUGUGCGUCCCUCCCUAUUCCCAGACAAUCACUCACUAAUCUGUCUUCUGUAACCCAGAUUAGUUUGCCUUUUCUAGAAUUUUAUAUAAAUGCAUUCAAACUUUUGUGUCCCUCUUGUUUCUUUCACUCAGUGUAAUUAUUUUGAGAUUAACUUAUGUGACUGUGUAUAUAAAUAAUUCCUUUUUGUUGCUGACAAGUAUCCUAUUGUGUGGAUAUAUUAGGUUGAUGCAAAAGUAAGUAUGGUCUUUGUCAUUAAAAGUAAUGGUAGGCCAUUAAAAGUA